GCCUGGGUAGCUCAGUGGUUGAGCAUCUGCCUUUGACUUAGAGCCUGAUCCCAGGCU
Molecule: transfer RNA, 57 nt
Filed under: Canis lupus familiaris (dog)
Lineage: Eukaryota; Metazoa; Chordata; Mammalia; Carnivora; Canidae
Also listed under: 1 other name
Source: Rfam by way of RNAcentral